Molecule: ribosomal RNA, 386 nt
Filed under: Theileria equi
Lineage: Eukaryota; Apicomplexa; Aconoidasida; Piroplasmida; Theileriidae
Description: SSU rRNA
Rfam family: Eukaryotic small subunit ribosomal RNA
Source: RNAcentral
GAAUUUCUGCUGCAUCGUUUUUCUUUGCUUGACAGUUGGAUUUUGUUACGGGUUAGUUGGGUUUCAUUUUUCGUUUCCCGACGUUUACUUUGAGAAAAUUAGAGUGCUUCAAGCAGGCUUUUGCCUUGAAUACUUUAGCAUGGAAUAAUGGAGUAGGACUUUGGUUCUAUUUUGUUGGUUUUAGGAGCCAGAGUAAUGGUUAAUAGGAACAGUUGGGGGCAUUCGUAUUUGACUGUCAGAGGUGAAAUUCUUAGAUUUGUCAAAGACGAACUACUGCGAAAGCAUUUGCCAAGGAUGUUUUCAUUAAUCAAGAACGAAAGUUAGGGGAUCGAAGACGAUCAGAUACCGUCGUAGUCCUAACUAUAAACGAUGCCGACUAGAGAUUG